Molecule: ribosomal RNA, 253 nt
Filed under: uncultured bacterium
Lineage: Bacteria
Description: partial 16S ribosomal RNA
Rfam family: Bacterial small subunit ribosomal RNA
Source: RNAcentral
UACAGAGGGUGCGAGCGUUAAUCGGAAUUACUGGCCGAAAAGCGUGCGCAGGCGGUGACUUAAGACAGCUGGGAAAUCCCCGGGCUCAACCUGGGAACUGCAUUUGUGACUGCAUCGCUGGAGUACGGCAGAGGGGGAUGGAAUUCCGCGUGUAGCAGUGAAAUGCGUAGAUAUGCGGAGGAACACCGAUGGCGAAGGCAAUCCCCUGGGCCUGUACUGACGCUCAUGCACGAAAGCGUGGGGAGCGAACAGG